Long non-coding RNA from Rosa rugosa (rugosa rose), 1163 nucleotides. RefSeq lists it as uncharacterized. NCBI's taxonomy places the organism in Eukaryota, Viridiplantae, Streptophyta, Magnoliopsida, Rosales, Rosaceae. The record is from RefSeq and is a predicted model, not a curated record. The transcript has 4 exons.
UCUCUCCUCUCCCAGCCGCGUUGCUCUCUCUCUCCCCCGACCUCUCUCUUUCUCGUCUUCCCACUGCCAGUGCCGAAAACCACCAUUUCCGGCCACCACCUCAUGUCACCGCCACCACCAAUCGAACCUACAUCCAAAUCCGACCCAAGCCCGAGCCUCAGCACCCACAUGCAUCGCCGGCAGCCUCUACACUCGCCAACCCAUGACCGCGACGCCACUGUUCCUCGAGCCUCGCCGGUUUCCGGCGAUUUCCUCGCCCUUCCGCCACCGUCAUUCUACUCAGCAAGCAAAGCGGAGCAAAACCCAGAGACUCCUCUUCGCCGCCGACGCCUGACGACGACGUACGAGCUUCGCCAGAACCCGUAGCUCUGCAUGCCUACAUUCUCCUGUCUCCAGCUCGAAUCGAGCUAAACCACCUCCGUAGUUGGAAUCAGCACCUCCCCUUUUACCAUAACCCCAUAGCUCCGACUUCUGUCUCCGACCAGAGCCGCCGCACGCGCGGGAGCUACUCAGCGCCGCCGCAAGGGUACCGGCCUAUUCUUUUGUUGGGUAAGAUGGAUUUCGUCACCCUUUUUCUUGGUUGAGGUCUCUGCUUUGAUUUUGGAUUAAACCCUAACUCGAUUGUUUAAUUUGGGAUUGUGUGAGGUUUGUGGAAUCUGAGUUUUUGAAGAAUUUGGAGAAGGUAAGUGUUGGGUCAGUUUCCAUUGAGAAUGGACUGAGGUAUUUCAAAACGGUUGUCGAUGGUGGAAUGCAGCUACAAUGGGUUUCUACUUUGGAAAGGAGAAUGGACUCGAGCACGUGCACAUGGAUUUGGACAAAUGAUUGAAAGUCGGGAAAGAACCCGAAUGUGGACGAGCACUCCAUAUCCAGUGUGCAGGUUUCGAGCAUGUGGUCGGGAAGCGUACAGGGGAGGCACAUGGCCCGGCUUGGUGCAUUUCUCUUUAGUUUUAUCAAAAGGAAGGUUUUGGUCCCUUAUCGGAUUUUGAAGUAACUUAGUUAUUUAUUUUCUUACUAAUUUAUUUGUUUAUUUGUUUUCUAUUCGCUCAUCUACAAAAUUUCGAGAGACCCGUAACCCUGGGGCGCGUCUCUCAUACUUGUUUUUACUUCGUGAUUCGUUAUUUUCCAAAUUGGGCUCCUAUUGUAAGCCCAAAUCUUUUAGCUCA